AAGCUUAAAGCUCUCCUUGAGAGGAAAGGUGCAAGAGUUCUGGCCGAUUAUGAAGCUUCUGGAAUGCUCUCAGAGACGUCAAGAAAGCUCCUUGUUAAAAUUGGUGUCAGUGAUUUGAUUGAGAGAAAUGGAUUUUAUCCAGCAACUGAUGACAAAACCAGGUUGGCGAGGUGUGUGGUUACGCUUUUCCUGUCACUGAGAGUCAGGAUGGAAGAUGAGAAUGAAGGCUUUAUUGGAACCAGUAUUUCCAGCCUUCUGGACAACCAAAAUCCUCCUGCACGCCAGCCCAACCUUGUGUGUAUUGGUCAACCCAACACCACUGCUCAAUACAUCAUCAUUGCUGAAAACGACAAAGUUGCCAUCCCACUGCAGGAUAAUGGUUUGACCUACG
Molecule: long non-coding RNA, 391 nt
Organism: Sardina pilchardus (European sardine)
Lineage: Eukaryota; Metazoa; Chordata; Actinopteri; Clupeiformes; Clupeidae
Exons: 3
Source: RefSeq, a predicted model, not a curated record